ACGAUAACCUCGGGAAACUUGAGGCUACCUCUUUCUACGGGAGUCAUGCUGGAAUGCCGACUCCCCGAAACGCUCAGGCGCUGUAGGAUGUGGCUGCGGCCCGAUUAGGUAGACGGUGGGGUAACGGCCCACCGUGCCGAUAAUCGGCAACGGGUUGUGAGAGCAAGAGCCCGGAGACGGAAUCUGAGACAAGAUUCCGGGCCCUACGGGGCGCAGCAGGAGCGAAACCUUUACACUGCACGCAAGUGCGAUAAGGGCACCCCAAGUGCGAGGGCAUAUAGUCCUCGCUUUUCUCGACUGUAAGGCGGUCGAGGAAUAAGAGCUGGGCAAGACCGGUGCCAGCCGCCGCGGUAAUACCGGCAGCUCAAGUGAUGACCGAUAUUAUUGGGCCUAAAGCGUCCGUAGCCGGCCACGAAGGUUCAUCGGGAAAUCCGCCAGCUCAACUGGCGGGCGUCCGGAGAAAACCACGUGGCUUGGGACCGGAAGGCUCGAGGGGUACGUCCGGGGUAGGAGUGAAAUCCCGUAAUCCUGGACGGACCACCGAUGGCGAAAGCACCUCGAGAAGACGGAUCCGACGGUGAGGGACGAAAGCUAGGGUCUCGAACCGGAUUAGAUAAACCGGGUAGCCCUAGCUGUAAACGAUGCUCGCUAGGUGUGACAAAGGCUACGAGCCUGUGCUGUGCCGUAGGGAAGCCGAGAAGCCAGCCGCCUGGGAAGUACGUCCGCAAGGAUGAAACUUAAAGGAAAUGGG
RNAcentral lists this ribosomal RNA (751 nucleotides) under Haloferax sp. BAB-4200. RNAcentral's name for it is "bacterial SSU rRNA". It matches the Rfam family "Archaeal small subunit ribosomal RNA", at positions 123 to 869 of the family's 1478-position model. Lineage: Archaea; Methanobacteriati; Methanobacteriota; Halobacteria; Halobacteriales; Haloferacaceae. The record is from RNAcentral.